GGGGAGGAAGAGAAGUAAAGGUGUGGGAGGAUUUGUGGAGUCUGUAAAUAAACGAGAUAAACUUCAGGCGGUCCAGGAGAAGUUCAGGCGGAAGGUGACAGACCCUCUGAGGGGCCGUGGCAAUAUUGCCUUAAAAUGACAGAAUUGUGAGGAGGGAAAGGCAGUGCCUCGGACAAAAGCAGCAUUUUCAGCCUUUCAUGCUCAAAGACGUAGUGAAAACAGUCUCUACUUAGAAACAGUGUGGUUAAUAAUAAGUGUUUUAGUUGACUGUACGGUCCCAAAGAUGGUCUUGAGAGAUUUCUGUCAGCUGCCUUAAUUUCGUUCCUCUUUAAUAAACGGAACUGCACUGAGGUGGGGAUCAGCUUAAAGCCAGCUUCCUCCAUGGGAGCUGAAGGGCUGUUUACAUGGAACUGUCUUGGAGUGCAAUACAUUUUUAUUUUUUUGUGGUCUGUCUGUGGCUAAAAUCAUACAAGAAACCUAUUGUACUGAUACGGGAAAGAGACCAGCUAGGCACCAGUUACAGAAGGAGACUGCAUUCCUGUUAUUAAUCAUACUCGUGUAUGAUGCACAGACUUUGCACAGGGCAUAUCUAGAAAACAAAAAGCAGUUGAAUACAAUGUAGAGAGCUGAUAAAAGUUAGCACUGCAUUGACAGUCCAGCCAAGAACAGGACAGGAACAGCUUUUACUCCUGGGCAGAAAAGAAGAGACUUUCUAACAUGCAGAAAAAUGAAGUUCUGUGAAUGGAGGAAGGAGUACAAAGCAGAAAGUGUGUUUUCUGAGUGUCUUUGUGGCAUCAAAUUUUUAAAAGCCCUGUAAAAUAAGGCAAGAUCUUCUGUGGGUGCACAUUGCCAUAGUUGUUAUAAUUUAGAAUAUCUGCACUAUUUUCACUUAAACUGGGGAUUUAGCACAUUUUGACAGUCCCAGUGACAGAAUAUGUUACAGAUAUUUGCUUGACAGAAUUUGUACAACUUAGAGUUGACUUGCUUGAUUAUUCUUUGUGCUUGUGUGUGCCCCCUCCACCAACCAUGCUGAGGACUGUCAUUUAGCUUGACUCCACUCUAUUCAGUUGAGCAGUGGCUGCAGGAGGCCAGCCGGCACAUAUCCUAGGGCCAUACAAGUGCUGUUUGGCAGGAUGUGCUCUGCAAAGCCAGAGGCACUCAAGGGACUACAGAAAGAGUCACAUUUGUGACAUAAUACUGAGUGCCUGAGCCAUGCUCAUUGUGAUGAAGUGUGUGGUGUUUGUUCUCAGCUGGUUGUGCAGUUGUAUGUGUAUAGUAGCUUUGCUGCUGUUUUCAAUAAAUAAUUUGCAGCUAA
Molecule: long non-coding RNA, 1315 nt
Organism: Pseudopipra pipra
Lineage: Eukaryota; Metazoa; Chordata; Aves; Passeriformes; Pipridae
Exons: 3
Source: RefSeq, a predicted model, not a curated record